Long non-coding RNA from Saccostrea echinata, 317 nucleotides. RefSeq lists it as uncharacterized. Lineage: Eukaryota; Metazoa; Mollusca; Bivalvia; Ostreida; Ostreidae. The transcript is spliced from 3 exons. The record is from RefSeq and is a predicted model, not a curated record.
UCAUUCAGCCGAGUUUGGCGAGUCGUUGUGAAAAAUGUCCAGUAAGGUACAUAUCGACUGAUAUUUAUAAAUAUCAACAUUGCUAUGAUUUGGUGAGAGGCAGUUCUAAAGAAACUUCUGUAAACAAGAUCGAUAAUCAAAACAGAAUCGUGAUAGACAAAAAUCGUUGGAACAUAAUCCUUGCUCUAUUGGUAGUUUUGGCUGUUUUUGUAUUUGUGAUAGCUAUCGGGGUUAUAUUUAUAAUAAUCCGAUUGAAACAACUCGCAUCUAGGAAAAGUGGAUCUGGAGAGGGAUUGCUGAAACUGUCCUGCACUGAC